RNAcentral lists this microRNA precursor (95 nucleotides) under Dasypus novemcinctus (nine-banded armadillo). RNAcentral's name for it is "miRNA (ENSDNOG00000040322.1)". Lineage: Eukaryota; Metazoa; Chordata; Mammalia; Cingulata; Dasypodidae. The record is from RNAcentral.
AUUUGGACCACCUGGAGACCUUGUUAAAAUGCAGAUUCUGAUCUAGAGGUCUGAGGUUGGGCCAUUUCUAACAAGCUCCCAGGUGAGGCCACUGC